Molecule: ribosomal RNA, 253 nt
Filed under: uncultured bacterium
Lineage: Bacteria
Description: partial 16S ribosomal RNA
Rfam family: Bacterial small subunit ribosomal RNA
Source: RNAcentral
UACGUAGGGUGCGAGCGUUAAUCGGAAUUACUGGGCGUAAAGCGUGCGCAGGCGGUUCGCCAAGUCAGGUGUGAAAUCCCCGGGCUUAACCUGGGAAUUGCGCUUGAAACUAGCGGGCUUGAGUGUGGCAGAGGGGGGUGGAAUUCCACGUGUAGCAGUGAAAUGCGUAGAGAUGUGGAGGAACACCGAUGGCGAAGGCAGCUCGCUGGGACGUUACUGACGCUGAGACGCGAAAGCGUGGGGAGCAAACAGG